UACCGCGAAGUGAUUGAUACCAUGCUUCCAAGAACAGCCUCUAAGCUUCAGUUACAAGGAGACCGUACCGCAAACCGACACAGGUGGGCAGGAUGAAAAUUCUAAGGCGCUUGAGAGAACUCAGGAGAAGGAACUCGGCAAAUUUGCACCGUAACUUCGGGAAAAGGUGCGCCCUGAUAGGUUGUAGCCCCUCGCGGGUGAAGGCUGAAAGGGUUGCAGUGAAAUGGUGGCUGCGACUGUUUAAUAAAAACACAGCACUCUGCAAACACGAAAGUGGACGUAUAGGGUGUGACGCCUGCCCGGUGCCGGAAGGUUAAGUGAUGGGGUGCAAGCUCUUGAUCGAAGCCCCGGUAAACGGCGGCCGUAACAAUAACGGUCCUAAGGUAGCGAAAUUCCUUGUCGGGUAAGUUCCGACCUGCACGAAUGGCGUAACGAUGGCCACACUGUCUCCUCCUGAGACUCAGCGAAGUUGAAGUGGUUGUGAAGAUGCAAUCUCCCCGCGGUUAGACGGAAAGACCCCAUGAACCUUUACUGUAGCUUUGCAUUGGACUUUGAACCGACUUGUGUAGGAUAGGUGGGAGGCUGCGAAGCCGGGACGCUAGUUCUGGUGGAGCCAACCUUGAAAUACCACCCUGGUUUGUUUGAGGUUCUAACCACGGCCCGUGAAUCCGGGUCUGGGACCGUGCAUGGUAGGCAGUUUGACUGGGGCGGUCUCCUCCUAAAGUGUAACGGAGGAGUACGAAGGUACGCUAGGUACGGUCGGACAUCGUGCUAAUAGUGCAAUGGCAAAAGCGUGCUUGACUGCGAGACCCACACGUCGAGCAGGUACGAAAGUAGGUCAUAGUGAUCCGGUGGUUCUGUAUGGAAGGGCCAUCGCUCAACGGAUAAAAGGUACUCUGGGGAUAACAGGCUAAUACCGCCCAAGAGUUCAUAUCGACGGCGGUGUUUGGCACCUCGAUGUCGGCUCAUCACAUCCUGGGGCUGUAGUCGGUCCCAAGGGUAUGGCUGUUCGCCAUUUAAAGUGGUACGUGAGCUGGGUUUAAAACGUCGUGAGACAGUUUGGUCCCUAUCUGCCGUGGGCGCUGGAAAUUUGAAGGGGGCUGCUCCUAGUACGAGAGGACCGGAGUGGACGAACCUCUGGUGUACCGGUUAUGACGCCAGUCGUAUUGCCGGGUAGUUAAGUUCGGAAGAGAUAAACGCUGAAAGCAUCUAAGCGUGAAACUCGCCUUAAGAUGAGAUUUCCCUGGGGACUUGAUCCCCCUGAAGGGUCGUGGUAGACCACCACGUUGAUAGGCUGGGUGUGGAAGCGCAGCAAUGCGUUAAGCUAACCAGUACUAAUUGCCCGUGAGGCUUGAUCC
This 1358-nucleotide ribosomal RNA is filed under the name metagenome. RNAcentral's name for it is "bacterial LSU rRNA". It matches the Rfam family "Bacterial large subunit ribosomal RNA", at positions 1581 to 2925 of the family's 2925-position model. The record is from RNAcentral.